Molecule: ribosomal RNA, 535 nt
Filed under: uncultured bacterium
Lineage: Bacteria
Description: bacterial SSU rRNA
Rfam family: Bacterial small subunit ribosomal RNA
Source: RNAcentral
AUUGGGCGUUUGAUCAUGGCUCAGGACGAACGCUGGCGGCGUGCUUAACACAUGCAAGUGGAGCGACGAACCAGGCUUCGGCCUGGGGCAGAGCCGCGAACGGGUGAGUAACACGUGGGUAACCUGCCCCGAUGACCGGGACAACCCGAGGAAACUCGGGCUAAUACCGGAUGUGCCCGCCUCACAUCAGUGAGGUGAGUAAAGGUAGCUUUGGCCUCCGCAUCGGGAUGGGCCCGCGGCCCAUUAGCUUGUUGGUGGGGUAACGGCCUACCAAGGCUGCGAUGGGUAGCUGGUCUGAGAGGACGAUCAGCCACACUGGGACUGAGACACGGCCCAGACUCCUACGGGAGGCAGCAGUGGGGAAUCUUGCGCAAUGCACGAAAGUGUGACGCAGCAACGCCGCGUGGGGGAAGAAGGCCUUCGGGUUGUAAACCCCUUUCAGGAGGGACGAAGUGCCGGCCGUUAAUAGCGGUUCGGCAUGACGGUACCUCCACAAGAAGCCCCGGCUAACUACGUGCCAGCAGCCGCGGUAAUA